This 415-nucleotide ribosomal RNA is filed under the name uncultured bacterium. RNAcentral describes it as "bacterial SSU rRNA". It matches the Rfam family "Bacterial small subunit ribosomal RNA", at positions 8 to 422 of the family's 1533-position model. The record is from RNAcentral.
AGAGUUUGAUCCUGGCUCAGAACGAACGCUGGCGGCGUGUCUUAAGCAUGCAAGUCGUGCGGCAAGGGCAGCAAUGCCCCUAGAGCGGCGGACUGGUGAGUAACGCGUGGGUGAUCUGCCCUUGGGUUGGGGAUAGCCAUUAGAAAUAGUGGGUAAUACCGAAUACGUUCCCUCGACUGUGGUUGGGGGAGGAAAGGCGCUUCGGCGCCACCCGAGGAUGAGCCCGCGUCCCAUUAGCUAGUUGGUGAGGUAAAGGCCCACCAAGGCGAUGAUGGGUAGGCGGCCUGAGAGGGUGUACGCCCACACUGGGACUGAGAUACGGCCCAGACUCCUACGGGAGGCAGCAGCUAAGAAUAUUCCGCAAUGGACGAAAGUCUGACGGAGCGACGCCGCGUGGAUGACGAAGGCCGAAAGG